This 889-nucleotide ribosomal RNA is filed under the name uncultured rumen bacterium. RNAcentral's name for it is "bacterial SSU rRNA". It matches the Rfam family "Bacterial small subunit ribosomal RNA", at positions 505 to 1397 of the family's 1533-position model. The record is from RNAcentral.
GUGCCAGCAGCCGCGGUAAUACGGAAGGUCCGGGCGUUAUCCGGAUUUAUUGGGUUUAAAGGGAGCGCAGGCUGAUGAUUAAGCGUGACGUGAAAUGUAGCCGCUCAACGGCUGAACUGCGUCGCGAACUGGUUAUCUUGAGUGAGUUCGAUGUUGGCGGAAUUCGUGGUGUAGCGGUGAAAUGCUUAGAUAUCACGAAGAACUCCGAUUGCGAAGGCAGCCAACAAGGCCCUUUACUGACGCUAAAGCUCGAAGGUGCGGGUAUCGAACAGGAUUAGAUACCCUGGUAGUCCGCACGGUAAACGAUGGAUGCCCGCUGUUUGCGAUAUACCGUGAGCGGCCAAGAGAAAUCGUUAAGCAUCCCACCUGGGGAGUACGCCGGCAACGGUGAAACUCAAAGGAAUUGACGGGGGCCCGCACAAGCGGAGGAACAUGUGGUUUAAUUCGAUGAUACGCGAGGAACCUUACCCGGGCUUGAACUGCCAGUGAACGAUACAGAGAUGUUGAGGCCCUUCGGGGCACUGGUGGAGGUGCUGCAUGGUUGUCGUCAGCUCGUGCCGUGAGGUGUCGGCUUAAGUGCCAUAACGAGCGCAACCCUUUUCAUUAGUUGCCAUCAGGUAAAGCCGGGCACUCUGGUGAUACUGCCACCGUAAGGUGUGAGGAAGGUGGGGAUGACGUCAAAUCAGCACGGCCCUUACGUCCGGGGCUACACACGUGUUACAAUGGGUGGUACAGAGAGUCGGAUCAACGCAAGUUGUUUCUAAUCCUAAAAGCCAUCCUCAGUUCGGAUUGGGUCUGCAACCCGACCCCAUGAAGCUGGAUUCGCUAGUAAUCGCGCAUCAGCCAUGGCGCGGUGAAUACGUUCCCGGGCCUUGUACACACCGCCCGU